UGCGUAGGCGGGGCAAUAAGUCAGUGGUGAAAUCCUGCGGCUUAACCGUAGAACUGCCAUUGAUACUGUUGCCCUUGAGUAUAGUUGAGGUGGGCGGAAUGUGUAAUGUAGCGGUGAAAUGCAUAGAUAUUACACAGAACACCAAUUGCGAAGGCAGCUCACUAAGCUAUAACUGACGCUGAGGCACGAAAGCGUGGGGAGCGAACAGGAUUAGAUACCCUGGUAGUCC
This 229-nucleotide ribosomal RNA is filed under the name uncultured bacterium. Its description in RNAcentral is "partial 16S ribosomal RNA". It matches the Rfam family "Bacterial small subunit ribosomal RNA", at positions 568 to 796 of the family's 1533-position model. The record is from RNAcentral.